Molecule: long non-coding RNA, 225 nt
Filed under: Ailuropoda melanoleuca (giant panda)
Lineage: Eukaryota; Metazoa; Chordata; Mammalia; Carnivora; Ursidae
Description: lncRNA (ENSAMEG00000024525.1)
Source: RNAcentral
CGAACCCCAGGAGUGAGGGCGCACAGCCGGGACGAGGAAGCGGCGGUCGGAAACCCCGCACCAGCGCUGCCAGCUUGCGGUCCGACGUGGGCUCAGCGCCCUGGGCGCGGAUUGAAUACAUGAUAAAUUGGUCUAAAAUGACCGAGUUUUCAUCUCAGUAAGACACGGAAGCCAUCCCAGAAGUUCUGCAUCCAGGUGCAUCUGGUAUAGUGUCUGAGACUAAUU